This 73-nucleotide transfer RNA is filed under the name Dryocopus pileatus. RNAcentral's name for it is "tRNA-Asn". Lineage: Eukaryota; Metazoa; Chordata; Aves; Piciformes; Picidae. The record is from RNAcentral.
UAGACGGAAGCCCGUGGGUUUGGGCAUCUAGCUGUUAACUAGAAUCUUGUGGGAUCGAGGCCCACCUGUCUAG